Caretta caretta (loggerhead turtle) is the source of this 2216-nucleotide non-coding RNA. The record is from RefSeq and is a predicted model, not a curated record. NCBI's taxonomy places the organism in Eukaryota, Metazoa, Chordata, Testudines, Cheloniidae.
CACCGGUUUUCAUUAUCUGGUCAUGUCUGUAGUUUUAAAAUAAUGUUUUAUGGCCAUAAGAUAACUCUUUAAAAAUGCACAAUGGUAUUGCCGACAUCUUCCAUGGCACAUCUGCUUAGUUUUACAGACACAAACAAGUUUUUGCUACUGUCAGCACUGAGGACCCAAUUUAGCUGCGGAAGAGCAAAGCUGCAUUGUAGUCUGGCUGAUGCGUCACCCGCAAAAUGAGCAGGCUCCCUUCUGAGUCUGGACUCUUGGGUGCUGGUGGUGAUGUAGCAGGCAGAAAGAACAGAGCCUGUUUGGUUGUUAGUUCUGAUUUACGAUUAUUCCCCGUCAGAGAUCAAACUGAGCUUCCAGCACAGGCAGUGCAAGGGGAAGAAAAAAAAACAAAACAAAACUUGCUUCCACUUGUCAGCUGAGCCCCUUUUUAUUUUAGGAAGCCAUCCCUGCUUAGGAAUAAAUGGGGCAGCACUAAGAAAUCAUUCCACGGUGAGUGGCUUUUGGGACUGGAAAGAGCUGCUGUUCUUUCUACCUUGGAACGGCAGGACGGGUGUGUUCAUUGCUUUGCAGGCUGCCGCCCCUCCUGCCAAAGGGGGAGCCCCUCUGGACCGGCGUGAAGGGAGGUUGGUGGACGGGAGGCGAUGCUGUUAUGCCGCUGUUACUGCUGGUCUUGCCGCGGCUGCUGCAGAGUCACGUGAGAGUCCCCUUUAAGUUUCCAUAGAGAGGCCUCUCAGUGUCACAUGAUGGACAUGAUAUAAUGAAACAACAUUGUAGCGAGGAAAGCAUUGAGGGGAGCCCAGGGCUGCACAAACGGUGUCUGGGAAGGGGGCAGAGAGAGAAGGAAACUACGGGGCAUCCUUCAGCACACAGGAGCCCACCUCCAUCCACUAGCGAAAGGGGACGUGGAAAAGAGAGGAGGGGUCCCUCUGCUCCCCUCCCACCCCCCCCGGGCCAGGAGGAAGAACAACUUUUAAUCAGCACAGAUGGGAUUGCACCUGUGUCCGGAGUCGCCACCAUCCAGAGGAAGAGGAAAUUUAUAUGAAAGAACAGAUCUGGAAACUACCUGUUUUUUUGUUUUUCUUCCACUUUGCUGCGGGGGUUGGGGGGUCGCGGUGCGGGGAAGGCGAGAAAGCUUUGCCAGCACAUGGAUCAGCGUAAGAUUUGAGCAGAGUGAAAGGAACGUAGUCAUGCAGAACACUCCUGACACUGAAAUUUGUGAUGUCCGUGGAUCGGUAGGCUGAAUAAACAAUGGUGGACACACCAGGAAAUUGCCUUCUUCUUCAUUCCUGCUGGUGGUGCAGGGGUACACCUGUGCAGCGCUCAUGAAUGGUGUAGUGGCUGGGAAUGGCGAACCGCAGCCACUGGGAGCUGCGGGCGGCUGUGCCUGUGUACAGUCAAAGUAAACAAACUGUCUCGCAGCCUACCAGUGGAUUACCUUGAUGGGCCAUAUGCGGCCCGCGAGCCGCAGGUUGCCCACCGCUGGAUUAGAGACUUCCUCCUUCCCAACCAAUUUAAACUGCUGACAAACAACUUGAAAGUGAGAGGAUGUAACAAGCUACAGUGAAAUGAGUCUUUGUGAAAUUAUUUGUUUAAUAUCAAGAAAAAAAGUUUGCUUCCAGUUUCUCCUGUGCUUUUUAAAACAAACAGAUUAACUUGUGUUUUCCAGAGGCUGCUUGCUACAUUAUUGUAGAGUUUUCAGUUCAUGCUUUUAGGCUCUUAUUUUGAGAAUUUUUUUCCAGCGAUGUAGGUGUCUUUCAUUGUCUGGUUUCAGAGUCUCAGCCGUGUCAGUCUGUAUCCGCAAAAAGAACAGGAGUACCUGUGGCACCGUAGAGUACUCCUUUUCAUUGUCUGCUGAGCAUGCUCUGUGGCUGUUAGGUGAUCACUUUGCCCAGUGUUCUGGCCUUCUCCUGAUUUUAAUGUCAUGGUUGUGGUCUACCUUCCUGGAGCAGUUAUGCACCCUGUGAAUUUUAAUAGCUUGCAAGUAUAUCCAACUGAACACCAUCUUUGUGAAGUGAUUUCUUUGUAAGUAUUUUUCUUCCUCUUCUCCACUGCUGUUCUCUAUAAAAUGAAGCUGUUUCUGUUCUGGAGACCUAUUUUUUGACCAUUGUGUAAUAAUUGUUUUAGUUAAAUGGUUAAACUUUCAAUUGUUAUUUGUAUGUGUUUUGAAACCCAUUUUAGAAUGGGUUUGUUGCUGUGUAAUAAACAGAUUUCAUUUA